AACGAACGCUGGCGGCAUGCCUAACACAUGCAAGUCGAACGAGACCUUCGGGUCUAGUGGCGCACGGGUGCGUAACGCGUGGGAACCUGCCCUUAGGUUCGGAAUAACUCCCCGAAAGGGGUGCUAAUACCGGAUAAUGUCUUCGGACCAAAGAUUUAUCGCCUUUGGAUGGGCCCGCGUUGGAUUAGCUAGUUGGUAGGGUAAAAGCCUACUAAGGCGACGAUCCAUAGCUGGUCUGAGAGGAUGAUCAGCCACACUGGGACUGAGACACGGCCCAGACUCCUACGGGAGGCAGCAGUGGGGAAUAUUGGACAAUGGGCGAAAGCCUGAUCCAGCAAUGCCGCGUGAGUGAUGAAGGCCUUAGGGUUGUAAAGCUCUUUUACCCGGGAUGAUAAUGACAGUACCGGGAGAAUAAGCUCCGGCUAACUACGUG
Molecule: ribosomal RNA, 433 nt
Filed under: uncultured bacterium
Lineage: Bacteria
Description: partial 16S ribosomal RNA
Rfam family: Bacterial small subunit ribosomal RNA
Source: RNAcentral